Small nucleolar RNA from Arachis stenosperma, 107 nucleotides. Lineage: Eukaryota; Viridiplantae; Streptophyta; Magnoliopsida; Fabales; Fabaceae. The record is from RefSeq and is a predicted model, not a curated record.
AAUAUAUUCGGAGGGCACUUCCUCGUUAAGUCUUUGAACCUCUCCUAGGCCUCAUAUAGUGUUUCACCAUCUUGCUGUCUGAAGGUUUGUACCUCAGCUCUCAAUCU